GUGACUCCUCAGUACGAAGCAUUAAAAAUUGUAAAUUUUGUAACUUACAAAUAGAAUUGAGGACCUUUUUAAUUUCAGAAUUUUCAGGUAAAAUUAAAAACCUCAAAUGCUUUAAACACCCAAUCCUUUCUAGUGGUAUCUCUAAUGUGGAUCCAUUCAAGUCCAGCAUUCGCAAAUACUGAAAUCUUGACAAACAUAAAUCUAAGGCUGAUUGGCUGCUAAGGCUUUU
Molecule: unclassified non-coding RNA, 229 nt
Filed under: Hevea brasiliensis (rubber tree)
Lineage: Eukaryota; Viridiplantae; Streptophyta; Magnoliopsida; Malpighiales; Euphorbiaceae
Source: RNAcentral